GAGUUUGAUCGUGGCUCAGGAUGAACGCUGGCGGCGUGCCUAAUACAUGCAAAGUCGAGCGAACGGACGAGAAGCUUGCUUCUCUGAUGUUAGCGGCGGACGGGUGAGUAACACGUGGAUAACCUACCUAUAAGACUGGGAUAACUUCGGGAAACCGGAGCUAAUACCGGAUAAUAUUUUGAACCGCAUGGUUCAAAAGUGAAAGACGGUCUUGCUGUCACUUAUAGAUGGAUCCGCGCUGCAUUAGCUAGUUGGUAAGGU
This 261-nucleotide ribosomal RNA is filed under the name uncultured microorganism. RNAcentral's name for it is "partial 16S ribosomal RNA". It matches the Rfam family "Bacterial small subunit ribosomal RNA", at positions 9 to 258 of the family's 1533-position model. The record is from RNAcentral.